GAUCAUGGCUCAGGACGAACGCUGGCGGCGUGCUUAACACAUGCAAGUCGAGCGGUAAGGCCUUUCGGGGUACACGAGCGGCGAACGGGUGAGUAACACGUGGGUGAUCUGCCCUGCACUCUGGGAUAAGCCUGGGAAACUGGGUCUAAUACCGGAUAUGACCUGCUCUCGCAUGGGGGUGGGUGGAAAGAUUUAUCGGUGCAGGAUGGGCCCGCGGCCUAUCAGCUUGUUGGUGGGGUAAUGGCCUACCAAGGCGACGACGGGUAGCCGACCUGAGAGGGUGACCGGCCACACUGGGACUGAGACACGGCCCAGACUCCUACGGGAGGCAGCAGUGGGGAAUAUUGCACAAUGGGCGAAAGCCUGAUGCAGCGACGCCGCGUGAGGGAUGAAGGCCUUCGGGUUGUAAACCUCUUUCAGCAGGGACGAAGCGCAAGUGACGGUACCUGCAGAAGAAGCACCGGCUAACUACGUGCCAGCAGCCGCGGUAAUACGUAGGGUGCGAGCGUUGUCCGGAAUUACUGGGCGUAAAGAGUUCGUAGGCGGUUUGUCGCGUCGUUUGUGAAAACCCGGGGCUCAACUUCGGGCUUGCAGGCGAUACGGGCAGACUUGAGUGUUUCAGGGGAGACUGGAAUUCCUGGUGUAGCGGUGAAAUGCGCAGAUAUCAGGAGGAACACCGGUGGCGAAGGCGGGUCUCUGGGAAACAACUGACGCUGAGGAACGAAAGCGUGGGUAGCAAACAGGAUUAGAUACCCUGGUAGUCCACGCCGUAAACGGUGGGCGCUAGGUGUGGGUUCCUUCCACGGAAUCUGUGCCGUAGCUAACGCAUUAAGCGC
RNAcentral lists this ribosomal RNA (836 nucleotides) under Rhodococcoides kyotonense. RNAcentral describes it as "bacterial SSU rRNA". It matches the Rfam family "Bacterial small subunit ribosomal RNA", at positions 15 to 867 of the family's 1533-position model. The record is from RNAcentral. Lineage: Bacteria; Bacillati; Actinomycetota; Actinomycetes; Mycobacteriales; Nocardiaceae.